Molecule: ribosomal RNA, 305 nt
Filed under: uncultured bacterium
Lineage: Bacteria
Description: bacterial SSU rRNA
Rfam family: Bacterial small subunit ribosomal RNA
Source: RNAcentral
CUACCUACGGGGGGCAGCAGUGAGGAAUAUUGGUCAAUGGGCGAGAGCCUGAACCAGCCAAGUCGCGUGAGGGAAGACGGCCCUACGGGUUGUAAACCUCUUUUGUCAGGGAGCAAGAACGGAUACGUGUAUCCGAGCGAGAGUACCUGAAGAAAAAGCAUCGGCUAACUCCGUGCCAGCAGCCGCGGUAAUACGGAGGAUGCGAGCGUUAUCCGGAUUUAUUGGGUUUAAAGGGUGCGUAGGCGGCCUGUUAAGUUAGUGGUUAAAUGUCGGGGCUAAACCCCGGAUUGCCAUUAAAACCGGCG